This 253-nucleotide ribosomal RNA is filed under the name uncultured bacterium. Its description in RNAcentral is "partial 16S ribosomal RNA". It matches the Rfam family "Bacterial small subunit ribosomal RNA", at positions 524 to 776 of the family's 1533-position model. The record is from RNAcentral.
UACGUAGGGGGCAAGCGUUGUCCGGAAUCAUUGGGCGUAAAGAGCGCGUAGGCGGCGCGGUAAGUCGGGUGUGAAAUCUCGGAGCUUAACUCCGAAACUGCAUUCGAUACUGCCGUGCUUGAGGACUGGAGAGGAGACUGGAAUUUACGGUGUAGCGGUGAAAUGCGUAGAUAUCGUAAGGAAGACCAGUGGCGAAGGCGGGUCUCUGGACAGUUCCUGACGCUGAGGCACGAAGGUCAGGGGAGCAAACGGG